CACAGACAAAUCCUCCAAAACACUGUCCAGAUUGCAAAGCAAGAGGCGAAAGUAAAAAGGUGAGGGUGUACCAGUUGAACCUAGAAUACGAGGGGGUUCUAAUGUGUGAAAAUAAACUAUGUAAAUGGCCGUUCAACAGAUUUAGAAGUGAUAGUUUCCUAGUCGAAGACAUACGUAAGGUGAACGUACACAGGAAGAAUAAGAAAAAAGAAAUAAAAUGAAGAAACGAGGAACGAAGUUUUAUAAAGAAAAAGAAGAACCGAAGAACUACUUGAAAACAUGGAUAGAGCCAACUCAGAAAUAUAACAUUUAUUAUUUAAUCUGACAAAAGUACAAAUUAUAUAUUUCUAAUUGACUUUUUAUUAUUAUUAUUUUGACUUUUAUCCAAUUAUUGUUUUUCUUGAUAACUUUUUAAAUUAUAACGUUUGUUGUCUUUUAUUGUAAUUAUGUUAAUAUUCUGAUGGAACCCUAAUUUUACGAAAAUAUUAUGAAUUAUUAAUCAUUUAUUUUGAAGUUUUUUUCAGAA
Molecule: long non-coding RNA, 526 nt
Organism: Eurytemora carolleeae
Lineage: Eukaryota; Metazoa; Arthropoda; Copepoda; Calanoida; Temoridae
Exons: 3
Source: RefSeq, a predicted model, not a curated record